GUGAGGAAUAUUGGACAAUGGGCGCAAGCCUGAUCCAGCCAUGCCGCGUGCAGGAAGACGCAUCUAUGGUGUGUAAACUGCUUUUAUACGGGAAGAAACACUCCCUCGUGAGGGAGCUUGACGGUACCGUAAGAAUAAGGAUCGGCUAACUCCGUGCCAGCAGCCGCGGUAAUACGGAGGAUCCAAGCGUUAUCCGGAAUCAUUGGGUUUAAAGGGUCCGUAGGCGGUUUAAUAAGUCAGUGGUGAAAGCCCAUCGCUCAACGAUGGAACGGCCAUUGAUACUGUUAGACUUGAAUUACAAGGAAGUAACUAGAAUAUGUAGUGUAGCGGUGAAAUGCUUAGAUAUUACAUGGAAUACCAAUUGCGAAGGCAGGUUACUACUUGUGGAUUGACGCUGAUGGACGAAAGCGUGGGGAGCGAACAGGAUUAGAAACCCGAGUAGUCC
RNAcentral lists this ribosomal RNA (445 nucleotides) under uncultured bacterium. RNAcentral's name for it is "partial 16S ribosomal RNA". It matches the Rfam family "Bacterial small subunit ribosomal RNA", at positions 354 to 796 of the family's 1533-position model. The record is from RNAcentral.